This is a non-coding RNA of Paramuricea clavata, 840 nucleotides long. Lineage: Eukaryota; Metazoa; Cnidaria; Anthozoa; Malacalcyonacea; Plexauridae. The record is from the annotation of a GenBank genome assembly.
CGACGGAAUAUUUGUGUCGGCCAAUCACAUUUUACAAAAUUUUCUUUCUGAGGAAAAUUUUCCUGAGUAGAAAUGGGCCUUUAUAGUCACGAAAACUACUUAUUGGUGGUUUGCAACCAAUGCCUGUAAUGAGAUUUAUAAGACAAAGAUGCGGCGGCCAUGUUGGAGAAAAUAGACUCCAAAUUCAAUAGCUACUAAUGAUAUUCUUUUGUUAGCGUUUUCCUAACAUGACCACUGUGCAAACCAAGGUUAUAGAAGAUUGCACUUAAUAUGUAGUAGUCUUCCAGAGGCUAUACAUCCUCCAGAAAAAUGUUACACUGCUUCGAAUCACUGAAAAAAAUGUGAAAUCCAUACUAUGAGAUUUGCAAUUGCACACUAAAUCCAUAGUAUAUCCAUACUAUUUCGAUACUAUAACCAUAGUAUGGAAAUAUACAGUUAUUAUGGAUAAUCAAAAAUCCGUUCUAUUUCCAAUAAACGUCCAUACAAUUUCCAUUCUAUGGAUUUUCAAACUUUUUUCCAGUGGAACUGAUGGUUCGCCAAUGACUCCUGACAACAUGACCCAAAAUCUGAUCAAGCUUUGAAACGUAGAACAUUCGUUGAAGCAUAUUUUCACAGACCUGCCAACACUCACGUUUUGUCGUGAGACUUUUUAAUAAAUUUAAACCAUAAUAAUAAGAAAAUCUUGGAAAUUUCGGGAAAUCUAACGGUUUUUAACAAAAUCUCAUGACUUUGUAAAAUACAUAAACUCACUAUACUUCUGCCACUGUGAGGUUGGCAUCAGUAGUAAAAGACCCUCAUCUGGUGGCGGAAGUAAUUAGUAUGCAAACUUAGGUGUCGGGA